Canis lupus familiaris (dog) is the source of this 3614-nucleotide long non-coding RNA. RefSeq lists it as uncharacterized. The record is from RefSeq and is a predicted model, not a curated record. The transcript has 3 exons. Lineage: Eukaryota; Metazoa; Chordata; Mammalia; Carnivora; Canidae.
AUGGAAUCUUGGGAGCCAUUCUUAGAAUUCUGGCUCAAAAGUCUGAAUUUAUAAUUUAGACUCCAUCUUAACAUACUGGUGAGAGCCUCCUCCUGGCCUUGAAGAAGCCAACAGCCACAUUGUGAACUGCCUAUGGAGAGGGACAUAUGGCAGAGAACCACAGGCAGCCUCUAGGAGCUGAGGACAGCCUUCAGUGAACAGUCAUUAAUAAGUUAGAACUCAGACCUCUAACUACAACCUCAAGAAUCUAAAUUCUGCCAACAACUGUACAGGCUUAGAAGAGGACCCUGAGCUUCUGAAAGGAAGAUAGCCUGGUUGACAUUUUGAUUUCAAUCCUACAAGAUCCUGAGCAGAGGACCCAGCUACUCCUGAGCCACAGAAACUCUGAGAUGGCACAAGAUAGUAAAUGUGUUUUGUUUGGAGCAACUGUGUUGUGGUGAUUUGUUCCCCAGCAACAGAAAACUAAUACAUGGGGCUCGCCUUUGUAGAUCUUGAUUCAGAAAGUCUGGGAUCAGAACUCAAAGUCUGUAAUUUAACAAAUAAUCCAGGGGAAUUUGAUGCACAUGGUCUCUUCCCUAGUUUGAGAAACCCUGAAUUACUUCUCAUAAUUUUCAUCUUUCAUUAAGAUGUAGGAAAAGCUCAGCAUUGUGAUUUUGUGCCCGGGAGAACUGCAUGUAGCCAGAGUUUUCAUUCCUUCAUUUCCUUCAGGAGAACAUUACUCACUGAAAGGAGCUUAAAAUCUGUAAUAACCUGAGAAAGACCCCAGAGCUAGAGAAUCUACAACAUCCAUGGCACUCGAGACAUAAAACAGCUUGUUCCUUCCGAAGAUUGGGUAAUUCAAUCAUCUUCCAGAAGGCCACCAGCAGGAGAAUGAUAGAAAUGACAUAUUUGCUGUUCAUGGAAGAAAAAAAAUGUAAUUGGAAGGAAAUAAGACAAGAUGUUCGCAGAUAAAGGAGGAACUAUCUGCUGGUUUAAAAAAUUGUGUGCUAGUUUACUCAUCUGCCAACAAUAAAUUUCUAUUUUCAUCUUCACAAUUGAAGCUUGGUUAGAAUUAAAUGCAAAGAGAUUUUGCAUUCAGCAGGGCAGACUUUUUUUAAUGCCUCGAGAUGGAUCUAUAAAGAAUAAAGGUUAGUCACUUUAGCAGAACAAGGACCUGUUUAUCACUUCACAAACCUAAUAACUGAUUUCCUAAGAAAUAGUGGUGAGCACUGGGGCUGCCGCUACUACUCUAGCACAUACAUUUCGGCAUUUAGGAGCAAAUUCGAUUUUGUGAUUAGCAAGCAAACUGCCUCGCCUGUGCUUAUUGGACUAUAUAUUUUUGAAGUGGCUUUGGGGCUUUGGUCUGUAAAGUCUUUUAUAGGCUAUAUUAAUCACAUUUUUUAACUCAAAGUAUACUUUGACAUCACUGAGGAAUCGAUAUAGCUAAUUCUGUGUGGAGGGCAAUGUCUAGUGGCAUGUUUACAAAUCAUAUAAAUAUUGGGUAGGAAGGAUCAAGCUGUCAAAUUUACAUGUUCAUUGAAACAGGAACACGAAAAGUUUUCUAUAUGUCACUCACAUCACUUGGAAUGAGAACCUCAGAUUGAAGUAUUCCUUUAAGAAAUAAAAUUUCACAGUUGACGAAAGGCAGAGAAAAGGACUUAUAGCCCUACUAUAGCCUUUGAGGGGUAAAGACAAGGGGGUUGAUUGAAAAAUAACAUUUUACUGAAAAUAACUGAGAAGCUUUUACUGAAAUAGGUUUGCAGUAUUUGUAAAAUGCAUUAGAAUGGCUCUUUAGGAUUUACCAAACAAGAUCCUAAAAACCUGAACUGUGACAGGAGACACUGUUCUAGGGUUUGGCCAACUGAACCCAAUGUUGCAUAGUCAAUAAGCUAAGAAUGGUUUUCACAUUUUUAAAAGAUUGAAAUAGACUAUCCAGCAGAAACGGGGUGUGGCCUACAAAGUCUAACCCUUUACUGAAAAAUAGUUUGCUGAUAUCUGCUCUAGAACUAGGUGGGAUGAUCACUGAGAGCCGCGUGGCUAGGUAUGAACUUUGAAAAGAUCUCUCUCACCAGGAGUGCUCUCAGGGUUUCCAUUAUAAAGUCCUACCAGCUGGGUGCCUCACACAGCAGAAAUUCAUUUUCUCACAGUUCUGGAGGCUAGAAGGACAAAAUCAAGGUAUUGGCAAGGUUGUUUGUUUUGGAGAUCGGCUUGAGGAGGGUCCAUUCUAAGCCUUUCUCCUUGGCUUACAUAGAGAGCUAUCAUCUCCCUGGAUCUCUUCACUUUGUCUUCCUGCUGUACUCGUCUUGGGUCCACAUUUCCCAUUUCCCACCAAUCAUCUUGGAUUGAGGACUCACCCUAAUGACCUCAUUUUAACUCAACUGCCUCCACAAAGAUCUCAUCUCCAGAUAAGGCCCCAUUCUGAGGGCCUGGGGGUUCGGACGUUAAUAUGUGAAUCUGGGGAGGGAGGCUACAAUUCAACCCAAAACAGUAGAAUUCUCUAAUAUCCUCCACAUCACUCAAAUACAAUUUUAAUUUGAAAGAGGCCUAAAUAGGUUAUAUGGUUUGCCCAAGGCCAAAUGUCUAAUGCUCACAGAAAUAGGAUGCGAAUCCAGAAUUUAUUGCCCCAAGUAUACUUUCCAUUUCUUUCAAUUGCCCUAAGGAACAAAAUAACAACCAUUAAAAAUUAACAACAUUACUCAUCAGUUAUUCAACUCUAUAAAUACGUGUGUUGUAUGAACUGCCUGCUUAUACGAGCAAGUCCCAUCCCUCUGUAUAAGGGGAGAUCAAGUGUUUGGGCAGAUAUUUAUAAUAAAAGGACUCUAGUCCCCGGGUGGCCCAAUUCAAAGAGACUGGUUUGGCUGUUUGUCUGCUGCGAUGGCUGUUGUUCUCGCCAAUGUGAUAUUCUGGGUCUGGUUCUUGGAGUCUGCUUUCCUCUGAUCUCCUUAAUUUACUCUCUCGUCUAUUAGAUGGACGUGGUCUCUGCAAAAUGCUGGGCUCCUGCGUCCGUUGCCGGCUCUGUGCGGAGGGCCCCUGGCUGAGCUUUAUGGAGCUACUCGGGAAAAGGAUUUUCGUGGCUCCCUGAUUUUGGCAAGAAGAGAACAGCUUCCGAGAUGAAUCUAAACUGAGAAGGUUUCUUCCAAUGCACAGAUGUCAUUGAUCUACUUAUAUUUCCUGUGAUAAAAUAUUGAAUGUCUCCUGCUCGCUGCCAGCGCCUAGAAUCUGAUUCUUGAACCACGGCCUGCCUAGCACCCAACUGUGAACCUAAGUUCAUCAUCCUUUUAAGCACAUUAUCUAAUUAGAGGCCAGAGAAAAACACAAAGUGGCUGUUCCAAACCAGUUUGACCGGCCUUCUCUCUGUGCUGUGGUUUAGCCCCAGUGACAAAUAUUAGCCUUUUUCCAGCUAAGCUUCACGGAGUCGCAGGUAUCUGGACAAUUUAAGCCAAAUACUUAGGCUGAAUUAUACAACCCGGAUUUUGUAGCUUCGGUCCAAACUCUACUAAGAAAGCUCAGAGUCCAUUACUUUGCAGAUAUUUUUUAGGGAUUUUUCUUUUUGGUCUGAGUAAAUGCACAUUUCUGUACACAGGGAAACAUUUCCUCAUUGCUCCUCCUCUUUUCUAUCUCAAUGAAAAAUUAAA